CCUACGGGAGGCAGCAGUGAGGAAUAUUGGUCAAUGGGAGGAAUCCUGAACCAGCCAUGCCGCGUGCAGGACGACGGCUCUACGAGUUGUAAACUGCUUUUGUACCGGGGUAAAAUGCCUUACGUGUAGGGUUUUGAAAGUACGGUACGAAUAAGGAUCGGCUAACUCCGUGCCAGCAGCCGCGGUAAUACGGAGGAUCCGAGGGUUAUCCGGAUUCAUUGGGUUUAAAGGGUGCGUAGGGUGUUUUAUAAGUUAGCGGUGAAAUACCGAUGCUCAAAAUCGUGGCUGCCGCUCAUACUGUCGGUCUAGCGCUCGGAUGCAGCAGUCGGAAUGUGUAGUGUAGCGG
RNAcentral lists this ribosomal RNA (346 nucleotides) under uncultured bacterium. RNAcentral's name for it is "partial 16S ribosomal RNA". It matches the Rfam family "Bacterial small subunit ribosomal RNA", at positions 338 to 681 of the family's 1533-position model. The record is from RNAcentral.